RNAcentral lists this ribosomal RNA (253 nucleotides) under uncultured bacterium. RNAcentral's name for it is "partial 16S ribosomal RNA". It matches the Rfam family "Bacterial small subunit ribosomal RNA", at positions 1247 to 1500 of the family's 1533-position model. The record is from RNAcentral.
AGGCAAAGCCGCGAGGCAGAGNAAACCCCUAAAAGCCAUCCCAGUUCGGAUUGCAGGCUGCAACCCGCCUGUAUGAAGUUGGAAUCGCUAGUAAUCGCGGAUCAGCAUGCCGCGGUGAAUACGUUCCCGGGCCUUGUACACACCGCCCGUCACACCAUGAGAGUCGGGAACACCCGAAGUCCGUAGCCUAACCGCAAGGAGGGCGCGGCCGAAGGUGGGUUCGAUAAUUGGGGUGAAGUCGUAACAAGGUAAC